This 76-nucleotide transfer RNA is filed under the name Candidatus Avoscillospira avistercoris. RNAcentral's name for it is "tRNA-Met". It matches the Rfam family "tRNA". From Rfam's summary of the family: Transfer RNA (tRNA) molecules are approximately 80 nucleotides in length. The record is from RNAcentral. RNAcentral also lists the same sequence under 1 other name. Lineage: Bacteria; Bacillati; Bacillota; Clostridia; Eubacteriales; Oscillospiraceae.
GGCGGCAUAGCUCAGUUGGUAGAGUAUCCGGUUCAUACCCGGCUUGUCACUGGUUCAAGUCCAGUUGCCGCUACCA